RNAcentral lists this long non-coding RNA (417 nucleotides) under Ursus maritimus (polar bear). RNAcentral's name for it is "lncRNA (ENSUMAG00000005332.1)". Lineage: Eukaryota; Metazoa; Chordata; Mammalia; Carnivora; Ursidae. The record is from RNAcentral.
CUCAGCUUCCAUGUGUAUAAGCUGGGGCAGCAGCUCCUCUGGUCCUCUGGUUAGCGCCAAGACAGCCCCUGUUCUCCGUCCCUUGAAAGGAUUGUAGGCAGUGAAUAUUUCUCGAAGAUUCUUGACUCUAAAAACCAACGUCUGUAGAGAGCGUCCGUGUGCCGGGCAUCAUUCAGAUGACUUUACCUGUGUUGAUUCAACAAACCCGCCCCACUACCUAUUCGUUUUUACAGGUGGGGCGACCCAGGCAGAGAGCUGAGAGAGGAGGUGCCGGUGUUUGAAUGUGGGCAGCCUGGCCCCCAGUCGGAGCCGCUGGACGCCGUUCCAUCCCGCCUCUGAUAAAAGUCCCAACGGUCGGUGGGAGCUUUUGGGGAGCUAGUCAUACAUAUUUCUGCGAGAAUCACUCACUUGACUGUU